CCUACGGGAGGCAGCAGUGGGGAAUAUUGGACAAUGGGCGAAAGCCUGAUCCAGCCAUGCCGCGUGUGUGAAGAAGGCCUUCGGGUUGUAAAGCACUUUCAGUGGGGAAGAAAGCCUUGGGGCUAAUACCCUCGAGGAAGGACAUCACCCACAGAAGAAGCACCGGCUAACUCCGUGCCAGCAGCCGCGGUAAUACGGAGGGUGCGAGCGUUAAUCGGAAUUACUGGGCGUAAAGCGCGCGUAGGCGGUCUGAUAAGCCGGUUGUGAAAGCCCCGGGCUCAACCUGGGAACGGCAUCCGGAACUGUCAGGCUAGAGUGCAGGAGAGGAAGGUAGAAUUCCCGGUGUAGCGGUGAAAUGCGUAGAGAUCGGGAGGAAUACCAGUGGCGAAGGCGGCCUUCUGGACUUACACUGACGCUGAGGUGCGAAAGCGUGGGUAGCAAACAGGAUUAGAUACCCGUGUAGUC
This 465-nucleotide ribosomal RNA is filed under the name Vreelandella stevensii. RNAcentral describes it as "partial 16S ribosomal RNA". It matches the Rfam family "Bacterial small subunit ribosomal RNA", at positions 338 to 795 of the family's 1533-position model. The record is from RNAcentral. Lineage: Bacteria; Pseudomonadati; Pseudomonadota; Gammaproteobacteria; Oceanospirillales; Halomonadaceae.